GGAGAGGUGACUGAGUGGUCGAAAGUGCGACCUUGGAAAGGUCGUGUACCCUCGUGGUACCUAGGGUUCGAAUCCCUACCUCUCCG
Molecule: transfer RNA, 86 nt
Filed under: Planctomycetota bacterium
Lineage: Bacteria; Pseudomonadati; Planctomycetota
Description: tRNA-Ser
Rfam family: tRNA
About the family: Transfer RNA (tRNA) molecules are approximately 80 nucleotides in length.
Source: RNAcentral